Molecule: non-coding RNA, 106 nt
Organism: Capsicum annuum
Lineage: Eukaryota; Viridiplantae; Streptophyta; Magnoliopsida; Solanales; Solanaceae
Source: Rfam
ACCUCAUGGUUGGGACACUGCUUGAGUUAUCCAUUGAAUCUUUCCCACACCUUAUAUAAGGGUUCACCAUUCAAUUACAAAAAUUUAAUGAUUUUAUCAUGCUAUU